GCAGUCGCCACGGUAAUACGGAGGGAGCUAGCGUUGUUCGGAAUUACUGGGCGUAAAGCGCGCGUAGGCGGUUACUCAAGUCAGAGGUGAAAGCCCGGGGCUCAACCCCGGAACUGCCUUUGAAACUAGGUGACUAGAAUCUUGGAGAGGUCAGUGGAAUUCCGAGUGUAGAGGUGAAAUUCGUAGAUAUUCGGAAGAACACCAGUGGCGAAGGCGACUGACUGGACAAGUAUUGACGCUGAGGUGCGAAAGCGUGGGGAGCAAACAGGAUUAGAUACCCCUGUAGUCCCUGUCUCUUAUAC
Molecule: ribosomal RNA, 302 nt
Filed under: uncultured bacterium
Lineage: Bacteria
Description: partial 16S ribosomal RNA
Rfam family: Bacterial small subunit ribosomal RNA
Source: RNAcentral